GGAAGGAAAAACCCUAAAAACGCGUGGCUUUUUCAUAUUAUGGGGUGCAACUCGCCUACGUGAAGUGGGAAUCGCUAGUAAUCGCAGGUCAGCAUACUGCGGUGAAUACGUUCCCGGGCCUUGUACACACCGCCCGUCACACCAUGGAAGUUGGCCAUGCCCGAAGUCGUUACUCCAACCCUUGUGGAGGAGGACGCCGAAGGUGGGGCUAAUGACUGGGGUGAAGUCGUAACAAGGUAGCCGUACCGGAAGGUGCGGCUGGAUCACCUCCUAA
This 274-nucleotide ribosomal RNA is filed under the name uncultured Prochlorococcus sp. RNAcentral's name for it is "partial 16S ribosomal RNA". It matches the Rfam family "Bacterial small subunit ribosomal RNA", at positions 1261 to 1533 of the family's 1533-position model. The record is from RNAcentral. Lineage: Bacteria; Bacillati; Cyanobacteriota; Cyanophyceae; Synechococcales; Prochlorococcaceae.